UUGAAAAAAGGAAUUAUUUAAUUAUGAAUUACUAAUCGUGUAAUAUGAACGGGUUAAUUCGCGUACCCUAUUCUGAGAGCGAACAACAUGAUUGAAAGGGCAAUGUAACAUAGCAUAAUACAGUAAUAGUUCUUAAUUAAGCUAAUCAUUCACAGUACAUAUCUUGUUAUCGAAAUGAAAUAACAGCCUGUUCCACGAUAUCGAAAGAAAAUUUGUGCGAACGAAGGCGAAGUGAGUGACACUUUCGUAUCAGAAUGCGUUCCACUAACACUCGUUCUAUCUUUCGCAUAGCCUUACGUGACGCAGUAUUGCUAAAUAUACCUUUUAAAAUUUAAUCGCGAGUUUAAACAAGAAAGCACCAGAACGACUGAUCUAAACGCGAAAUAGCAAUAAACAAGUUAAAAAGCAGUAAGUUCGGCCGGGCCUGGCAAAAUUUUAACCAUAGAUAGCAUGAUUACAACAGACAGACGGACAUAAAUCGACUUAGAAUUUCGAGGAGUUACAAACGGAAUGACAAAGUUAAUAUACCCUCCAUUGUAUGGUGGAGAGUAUAAAAAUACAACCAUGCGUAAGCUGGCUCUGCUGCGGACGCAUUUAAGAGAUACUUCUUAUUUGUUUGAAGUACCUAACAACUACUUUGUGGCCAAUUUUCGUGUGUCGUAGGAAGUUUUCCGGGCUCUUUUAGAUAUGCUAGAAGAUAAAUGGUUUCCCGGUUGUAGAACAACCCAUGUACGCCCUGAUUUAAAAAUUGGCACAUUCUUGCGGUUUUUGGCGGCAGAAGCAACUAGCAGCAUUUAGAGAAUGAAGUCCUGACUUCAACGCGAAGUCUACAGUGAGCAGAACCCAUGCUGAAUGUCUGCAGAUUUUUAAGAACCACAUUCGCGGCCAAUGGAUAAUUAAAGAAUGUAAAAUUACCAGUUUUUUUUAUUAAAAUAAAAUAUAUAAUUCCAAAA
Long non-coding RNA from Musca domestica (house fly), 953 nucleotides. RefSeq lists it as uncharacterized. The record is from RefSeq and is a predicted model, not a curated record. The transcript is spliced from 2 exons. Lineage: Eukaryota; Metazoa; Arthropoda; Insecta; Diptera; Muscidae.